RNAcentral lists this long non-coding RNA (1050 nucleotides) under Canis lupus familiaris (dog). RNAcentral describes it as "lncRNA (ENSCAFG00040003084.1)". Lineage: Eukaryota; Metazoa; Chordata; Mammalia; Carnivora; Canidae. The record is from RNAcentral.
GAUCACUUUGUAAUGUAUAUAAAUGUUGAAUCACUAUGUUGUAUACCUGAAACUAAUAUAAUAUUGUAUGUCAACUACAUACAGCUAAACAACAACAAAAAUUCAGGGUUUUGUUUCUUUCCCAUAGCUUCCUUUGUGGCUGUCAUGAUGCUUUCCAGACAGUGACGGCAAGUCCUAUGCAGAAACUAGAGGAAAAGGGGGAGAGUGUUGUGAAAAGAAGCAUUUUGGAAAAUUAUCCAGAAGGGGUCAACAAGGUAAAUGAAGGACCGUGGAAACCAAUUAGGAGGAUACUGCAGAAAUGAGACACCAAGGAGCAAGAGCCAAGGUAGUUGCAGUGGGCAUGGAGAAAUGAUGCAAACAAGCAUCAAGAUGUUAUUGGAAGUAUGGAGUUAUGUUGAAGAAUUCUAUUAAUAAUAGCGCAGAGGCCUGAGAAUACUCAAAUUCUGUUCAAGCUCCUUAGGCUUUGAAUAGCUAAACAUCUACAUCAUAGUUUUCUUUGCUCUAUGUCCCCAGAUAAGAAUUUUAGCUUCAAACUGGGCUGGUUUUUAAUUUACAAAGAGAAUAAACUGACCAUGGCUAUAAGGUAGAAGAGAAAUUUUCUGACAGUAGAUUUAGUACCCUAGAGAAUUACUAGAUAAUCUAGAACCAGGUUAGUGUUCUGCUAAGAACUAAGAAGACUGAAACUACAGUUAAAGGAGAAAGAGUCUUUUUUCUUUUUUUCUGGGACUUCUUACUUCUAGGUACAUUCCUUUGAUAAACUCAUCCACCCUCUUGACUUAGAUCAGCAAGUCCAGGAACAGAGCUUGUUGCAAAGGUGGUCAAUAUCUCCUUAGCCUCAGUAGAGACAAAGCAAGGAGAACAGCUUAAGUUUCUAGACAAGUCUGGGCAUUGGAGAUGAUGGGCAAGCAGACAAGGAGGAUAGGGGUCCUCUACCUUUGCCAAGAGCCAGAGUGCUGAAGGUCCUACCAUCCUUUCCUCUGCCUGGAACUUUGCAGAGAUAAAGACAAUAGCUUUAGAAUGCGUAGUUCCAGAUUUGAUGGGCCUCACACG